CCUACGUGAGGCAGCAGUGGGGGAUAUUGCACAAUGGGGGGAACCCUGAUGCAGCGACGCCGCGUGGGUGAAGAAGCGCCUCGGCGCGUAAAGCCCUGUCAGCAGGGAAGAAAAUGACGGUACCUGAAGAAGAAGCCUCGGCUAACUACGUGCCAGCAGCCGCGGUAAUACGUAGGGGGCAAGCGUUAUCCGGAUUGACUGGGGGGAAAGGGGGCGCAGACGGCGAUGCAAGCCAGGGGUGAAAGCCCGGGGCCCAACCCCGGGACUGCUCUUGGAACUGCGUGGCUGGAGUGCAGGAGGGGCAGGCGGAAUUCCUGGUGUAGCAGUGAAAUGCGUAGAUAUCAGGAGGAACACCGGUGGCGAAGGCGGCCUGCUGGACUGCAACUGACGUUGAGGCCCGAAAGCGUGGGGAGCAAACAGGAUUAGACACCCUGGUAGUC
RNAcentral lists this ribosomal RNA (440 nucleotides) under uncultured bacterium. Its description in RNAcentral is "partial 16S ribosomal RNA". It matches the Rfam family "Bacterial small subunit ribosomal RNA", at positions 338 to 795 of the family's 1533-position model. The record is from RNAcentral.